CAGGACCGUGGCCAUGGAAGUCGGAAUCUGAUAAGGAGUGUGUAACAACUCACCUG
RNAcentral lists this non-coding RNA (56 nucleotides) under Callithrix jacchus (white-tufted-ear marmoset). Its description in RNAcentral is "Eukaryotic large subunit ribosomal RNA". It matches the Rfam family "Eukaryotic large subunit ribosomal RNA", at positions 1241 to 1296 of the family's 3401-position model. The record is from Rfam by way of RNAcentral. Lineage: Eukaryota; Metazoa; Chordata; Mammalia; Primates; Cebidae.